UACGUAGGGGGCGAGCGUUAUCCGGAAUUACUGGGCGUAAAGAGUACGUAGGUGGCGCAGUAAGCGAGUGGUGAAAGCCCGGGGCUUAACUCCGGCGAGCCAUUCGAACUGCUGUGCUUGAGUGCUGGAGGGGAAAGUGGAAUUCCUAGUGUAGCGGUGAAAUGCGUAGAUAUUAGGAGGAACACCGGUGGCGAAGGCGACUUUCUGGACAGUAACUGACACUGAGGUACGAAAGCGUGGGGAGCAAACA
This 250-nucleotide ribosomal RNA is filed under the name uncultured prokaryote. Its description in RNAcentral is "partial 16S ribosomal RNA". It matches the Rfam family "Bacterial small subunit ribosomal RNA", at positions 524 to 774 of the family's 1533-position model. The record is from RNAcentral.